UACGGAGGGAGCUAGCGUUGUUCGGAAUCACUGGGCGUAAAGCGUACGUAGGCGGUUAUUCAAGUUAGAGGUGAAAGCCUGGAGCUCAACUCCAGAACUGCCUUUAAAACUAGAUAGCUAGAAUCUGGGAGAGGUGAGUGGAAUUCCGAGUGUAGAGGUGAAAUUCGUAGAUAUUCGGAAGAACACCAGUGGCGAAGGCGGCUCACUGGACCAGUAUUGACGCUGAGGUACGAAAGCGUGGGGAGCAAACAGG
Molecule: ribosomal RNA, 253 nt
Filed under: uncultured bacterium
Lineage: Bacteria
Also listed under: 1 other name
Description: partial 16S ribosomal RNA
Rfam family: Bacterial small subunit ribosomal RNA
Source: RNAcentral